GAGACAGCAGCAGCCACGGGAAUACGUAGGUGGCAAGCGUUGUCCGGAAUUAUUGGGCGUAAAGGGCUCGCAGGCGGUUUCUUAAGUCUGAUGUGAAAGCCCCCGGCUCAACCGGGGAGGGUCAUUGGAAACUGGGAAACUUGAGUGCAGAAGAGGAGAGUGGAAUUCCACGUGUAGCGGUGAAAUGCGUAGGGAUGUGGAGGAACACCAGUGGCGAAGGCGACUCUCUGGUCUGUAACUGACGCUGAGGAGCGAAAGCGUGGGGAGCGAACAGGAUUAGAGACCCCCGUAGUCCCUGUCUCUUAUAA
Molecule: ribosomal RNA, 308 nt
Filed under: uncultured bacterium
Lineage: Bacteria
Description: partial 16S ribosomal RNA
Rfam family: Bacterial small subunit ribosomal RNA
Source: RNAcentral